Molecule: ribosomal RNA, 488 nt
Filed under: uncultured bacterium
Lineage: Bacteria
Description: bacterial SSU rRNA
Rfam family: Bacterial small subunit ribosomal RNA
Source: RNAcentral
GAUGAACGCUAGCGGCAGGCCUAACACAUGCAAGUCGAACGGUAACAGAGGGAGCUUGCUCCCUGCUGACGAGUGGCGCACGGGUGCGUAACGCGUAUACAAUCUACCUUUUACAGGGGUAUAGCCUUUAGAAAUGAAGAAUAAUCCCCCAUAACAUCACAUAAUGGCAUCAUUACAUGAUUAAAGCUUCGGUGGUAAAAGAUGAGUAUGCGUUCUAUUAGCUAGUAGGUGAGGUAACGGCUCACCUAGGCUACGAUAGAUAGGGGCCCUGAGAGGGGGAUCCCCCACACUGGUACUGAGACACGGACCAGACUCCUACGGGAGGCAGCAGUGAGGAAUAUUGGACAAUGGGCGCAAGCCUGAUCCAGCCAUGCCGCGUGCAGGAAGACUGCCCCUAUGGGUUUGUAAAACUGCUUUUAUAUAGGAAGAAACCCCGAUACGUGUAUUGGGCUGACGGUACUAUAAGAAUAAGCAUCGGCUAACUCCGU